UGGGGAAUAUUGGACAAUGGGCGCAAGCCUGAUCCAGCCAUGCCGCGUGAGUGAAGAAGGCCCUUUGGGUUGUAAAGCUCUUUCAGCGGGGACGAUGAUGACGGUACCCGCAGAAGAAGCCCCGGCUAACUUCGUGCCAGCAGCCGCGGUAAUACGAAGGGGGCAAGCGUUGUUCAGAUUUACUGGGCGUAAAGGGCGCGUAGGCGGAUAGAUUUGUCAGAGGUGAAAGCCCCGGGCUCAACCUGGGAACUGCCUUUGAAACGGUCUGUCUUGAGGACGGGAGAGGAUGGUGGAAUACCCAGUGUAGAGGUGAAAUUCGUAGAUAUUGGGUGGAACACCGGUGGCGAAGGCGACCAUCUGGCCCGUUACUGACGCUGAGGCGCGAAAGCGUGGGGAGCAAACAGGAUUAGAUACCCCCGUAGUCC
This 425-nucleotide ribosomal RNA is filed under the name uncultured prokaryote. RNAcentral's name for it is "bacterial SSU rRNA". It matches the Rfam family "Bacterial small subunit ribosomal RNA", at positions 355 to 796 of the family's 1533-position model. The record is from RNAcentral.